UUGAAAAAAAAGAGAGAGAUGAGGAGAGAACUGUUGAGUGGGGGAGCCGAAAGGAAGCAGAAUGGAGCGAGAGCCGAGUGGAAGAGAGAAAGAGAGGAAAAGAAGAGAGUGGUCGAAGAAGAUGAAAGAAGAGAAGGAAAGAGUCAGAACCGGGAGAGAGAGCGAGAAGGAGAGUGCAUAAUCGACACCGAAGGAAGGAAGAAGGAAAUGAAUCAGGUUGAGGAGCACUGUGUGACAAUGGAAACUGAAGCAAGUAAGCCAUGAAAUCCGUCAUCCAAAUCUCAAGCAAGAAAGGAGAGUUGCAAGGUAGCCGUGAAGACCAUCCAGAGUCGAACUUAAGACCGAAUCGCACCACGCCGGCGCAAGUAAGUUUUUUUUUUUAAUGAUUGGUUGGUUGUCAGGGCGACGGGGACGGAUAGUUGGUGUCAGGCUAGCUGCGCGAGCUCGGCUAGUCACCCACCCACUCGGGAACCUAAUUCAUCACUGGGGAAGCUGAAGAGUCUUCCUCGGGUACGAGAAUCUGAUUCACCAGUGGAAGCCAGAGAGUCUUCCUCGGGAAUGGGAACCCGAUUCACCCACUCGGGAAGCCGAAGAGUCUUCAUCGGUGAAUUAGGAUGUUCAAGCAGAUCCGAGAAGGUUGUAGCCCAAAGGAGUUGUAAGUAUUUCCCAUUAUGAGCCUAUAUUAGGAUUUUUGGAAUUUAUGCAUGUAUGUUAUUAAUUUUGUGUGUAUUUUAAACAUAGAACAUGUACUAACCUAAUUUUUGAUGAAGAACAUAACUCGAACCUAUGACGAGUGAACCCUAACCUGUUUGAAAAUUAUGAGGAGAUGGAGACCAAAAAAAUAAGGACUGAGGAAUACCUACACUGAUGAUAAAAUAUAAAAAUUAAAUUAAAGAAAUCACGAAUAAAGUGAAAGAUUGAGAAAAAGAAAAGAAAAUAACGUAAGGAAAUGAGUAAAAAUAGAAGAGAAUAAUUAUGGUUGUUAAACGACAAAUGUAAAUAAAAUUUAAGAGAAAAAUAGAGUAAAUAGGGAAGUAAAUAAGAAUUGAGAAAUGAGAGGUUGUGCGUGAGUAAGGUAUAGACCCUGGAUGCCUUCUUGUUCAGUAUGAAUCGAGGAGGGGAGUGUGUGUGUCUGGCUGAAGUUUAACGGACAUGGCGAACCUAGACAUGGAUAGAGUUUAAAACCUAUUGUCGAUUUGUGAAAGAAUUUUUUAAGAUUGCAACCCCUCUUACCCGGCUUAGUAAGAAAGAUACUAAGUUUGAAUGGAUCCAGACAGUGAGAAUAGUUUCAGAGAAUUUAAAAAUCGACUUGUGACAGCUCCAAUAUUAGCUCUACCAAGUGGAUUAGGAGGUUAUGCAGUGUACACUGAUACAUUAAGUCAGCAUUUAGGAUGUGUUUUAAUGCAACAUCGUAGAGUCAUCGCAUACGAGUCAAGACAAUUGAAGAUCCAUGAAUGAAAUUACCCAACUCAUGACUUGGAAUUAGCUAUAAUUAUAUAUGUUGGGAUGAUCAUCUAACACUGAUAGAUGCUUAUAACAAUAACUACUAGGUAAGUAUUGGUAUGACCCCCUAUGAAGCAUUGUAUGGCCGACCUCGUAGGUCUCCAAUCUACUGGGAAGAAGUUAGAAAAAAGAAGUUAAUUGGCCUAAAGUUAGUAGAUGAAACUACUAUAAAGAUUAUUAAGAUCAGAAAGAACAUUCAGUAGCCUAGAGUAGACAGAAACGCUAUGCGAAUAACCGAA
Molecule: RNA transcript, 1742 nt
Organism: Carica papaya (papaya)
Lineage: Eukaryota; Viridiplantae; Streptophyta; Magnoliopsida; Brassicales; Caricaceae
Source: RefSeq, a predicted model, not a curated record